RNAcentral lists this ribosomal RNA (253 nucleotides) under uncultured bacterium. Its description in RNAcentral is "partial 16S ribosomal RNA". It matches the Rfam family "Bacterial small subunit ribosomal RNA", at positions 524 to 776 of the family's 1533-position model. The record is from RNAcentral.
UACGUAGGUGGCAAGCGUUACUCGGAAUUACUAGGCGUAAAGCGCAGGUAGGCGGUUGGGCAAGUCCGUAAUGAAAUCUCCCGGCUUAACUGGGAGGGGUUUAGGGAUACUGCCCGACUUGAAUGUGGGAGAGGUAACUGGAAUUCCUGGUGUAGCGGUGAAAUGCGUAGAGAUCAGGAGGAACACCUAUGGCGAAAGCAGGUUACUGGACCAAUAUUGACGCUGAGCUGCGAAAGCUAGGGGAGCAAACAGG